UGAGGAAUAUUGGACAAUGGGUGAGAGCCUGAUCCAGCCAUCCCGCGUGAAGGACGACUGCCCUAUGGGUUGUAAACUUCUUUUAUACUGGGAUAAACCUACCCUCGUGAGGGUAGCUGAAGGUACAGUAUGAAUAAGCACCGGCUAACUCCGUGCCAGCAGCCGCGGUAAUACGGAGGGUGCAAGCGUUAUCCGGAUUUAUUGGGUUUAAAGGGUCCGUAGGCGGGCUGUAAGUCAGUGGUGAAAUCUCAUAGCUUAACUAUGAAAACUGCCAUUGAUACUGCGGUCUUGAGUAAAGUAGAAGUGGCUGGAAUAAGUAGUGUGCGGUGAAAUGCAUAGAUAUUACUUAGAACACCAAUUGCGAAGGCAGGUCACUAUGUUUUAAACUGACGCUNAUGGACGAAAGCGUGGGGAGUCGAACAGGAUUAGAUACCCUGG
RNAcentral lists this ribosomal RNA (438 nucleotides) under uncultured bacterium. RNAcentral's name for it is "partial 16S ribosomal RNA". It matches the Rfam family "Bacterial small subunit ribosomal RNA", at positions 355 to 790 of the family's 1533-position model. The record is from RNAcentral.